This 255-nucleotide ribosomal RNA is filed under the name uncultured bacterium. Its description in RNAcentral is "partial 16S ribosomal RNA". It matches the Rfam family "Bacterial small subunit ribosomal RNA", at positions 524 to 775 of the family's 1533-position model. The record is from RNAcentral.
UACGAAGGGGGGCUAAGCGUUGCUCGGAAUUACUGGGCGUAAAGGGCGCGUAGGCGGCCACUGUUAGUCAGGCGUGAAAGUCCUGGGCUCAACCUGGGAACUGCGCUUGAUACGGCAGAGCUAGAGGAUGGAGAGGCUCGCGGAAUUCCCAGUGUAGAGGUGAAAUUCGUAGAUAUUGGGAAGAACAACCGGUGGCGAAGGCGGCGAGCUGGUCCAUUACUGACGCUGAGGCGCGACAGCGUGGGGAGCAACAGG